RNAcentral lists this transfer RNA (73 nucleotides) under Sus scrofa (pig). It matches the Rfam family "tRNA". Rfam says of the family: Transfer RNA (tRNA) molecules are approximately 80 nucleotides in length. Their secondary structure includes four short double-helical elements and three loops (D, anti-codon, and T loops). Further hydrogen bonds mediate the characteristic L-shaped molecular structure. tRNAs have two regions of fundamental functional importance: the anti-codon, which is responsible for specific mRNA codon recognition, and the 3' end, to which the tRNAs corresponding amino acid is attached (by aminoacyl-tRNA synthetases). tRNAs cope with the degeneracy of the genetic code in two manners: having more than one tRNA (with a specific anti-codon) for a particular amino acid; and 'wobble' base-pairing, i.e. permitting non-standard base-pairing at the 3rd anti-codon position. Lineage: Eukaryota; Metazoa; Chordata; Mammalia; Artiodactyla; Suidae. The record is from Rfam by way of RNAcentral.
UCCCUGGUGGCCUAGUGGUUAAGGGCUUAGUAUUGUCAUUGCUGUGGCUCAGGUUGGAUCCUUGACCUAGGAA